Molecule: ribosomal RNA, 301 nt
Filed under: uncultured bacterium
Lineage: Bacteria
Description: partial 16S ribosomal RNA
Rfam family: Bacterial small subunit ribosomal RNA
Source: RNAcentral
CAGUCGCCGCGGUAAUACGGAGGGUGCAAGCGUUAAUCGGAAUUACUGGGCGUAAAGCGCACGCAGGCGGUUUGUUAAGUCAGAUGUGAAAUCCCCGAGCUUAACUUGGGAACUGCAUUUGAAACUGGCAAGCUAGAGUCUUGUAGAGGGGGGUAGAAUUCCAGGUGUAGCGGUGAAAUGCGUAGAGAUCUGGAGGAAUACCGGUGGCGAAGGCGGCCCCCUGGACAAAGACUGACGCUCAGGUGCGAAAGCGUGGGGAGCAAACAGGAUUAGAGACCCCUGUAGUCCCUGUCUCUUAUAC